Molecule: long non-coding RNA, 1061 nt
Filed under: Homo sapiens (human)
Lineage: Eukaryota; Metazoa; Chordata; Mammalia; Primates; Hominidae
Description: HSALNT0297536
Source: RNAcentral
CUACCCCACACAGUCCUUUGCGAUUUUCCUCUCCCACUUUGGGAGCCAGUGGAUGAAGAGGGUGGAACCAUAGAAUAGAAGGAACCCAGAUACAGAUCACUGUUCAGAGGAGAGCUGCCUGCCAGUCAGGAAGACCCAUUUUGGACUUUAUAAAUGCUCUGACCUUAAAAGGAAUAUUGGAGGCAGGAGGAAACAGAGGAAGCAAGAAGAAUUUCCUGGAAGGUAAUUAUUGUAAUAUAAGCAUACUUCGGAGAUAUUGCAGGUUCCGUUCCAGACCACUGCAACAGUGAAUAUCUCAAUCAACAUCUUCACCAGGAGUAGAUUUUAUCUUAAGAAGCCACUUUCUUUGCUCAUCCAGAAGCUACAACUCCUCAUCAUGAGAUUUCAGCAGUUCAGUUCCAUCUUCAGGCCCUAUUUUUAGUUCUCUUUAGUUCUCUUGCUAUUUCCACGACAUCUGCAAUGACUUCCUCAACUGAAGUCUUGAACCCCUCAAAGUAAUCCAUGAAGGAAGAUGACCACGGCCCCUCUGUUCCCUCGCCUGUGUGCCAAAUGGAUCCACAGCUAGAGACAAGCUCCUUCCCUUUGAACGGUGGGAAGCAGGCCAAGAUGUUUUAAAGACAGAUGGCAUCAGAUGCAGAGAAGCAAGCUGGAACUCGGAGCACAGCUGCCUUAUUUACUUACCUACUGGCUGCAUUUCUGAGAACCAGUUUUAUUCCUGUUCAAAGGAAGCCAGGCAGAGUUGGGAAAAUAUUUUCCUAGCCAGCUCCUUAGCACCACUGUCUGAGGGAAACCAUCUGGCCAAGAUGCCCUUCAACAUCACCGAGAACUACUGCCAUCAGCUAUAUAAUGAAACUAUUUUUAAGCAACAACAACAGCAGCAGAGAAGAGGGACCAACAGGGUCCAAUGCAUCAGAGGGGUCCAAACUGAUGCCACAGUUUUUUAAAUCCAUUCCUCCAUCGACACUUGGGUGGUUCCAUAUCUUGACUAUUGUGAAGAAUGCUGCGUGAAAAUAGAAGUGCAGCCUGAGCUUUUGCUGCGAUCUCCAAAAAAUCAUUGCCAG